UGGAAGCAAAACUGCUCUCAAGCAACCCUAGCGUGGCCCCUCGUUGCCCUCGAAGACAAUUGAAACCUGCGACCCCGUGCACCUUGAACACAGGACACGGUAAGCACAUUCACUAAAGCAUCUGCUGCUCUUUUAAAGAAGCUGUGGAGAGGCUGGGCGUGUUGGCACACGCCAGCACUUUGGGAGGCCGAGGUGAGUGGAUCACCUGACGUCAGGAGUUCAAGACCAGCCUGGCCAACGUGGUGAAACCGCAUCUCUACUAAAAGUACAAAAAUCAGCUGGAUGUGGUGGCAUGAGCCUGUAAUCCCAGCUACUCUGGAGGCUGAGAAUCUCUUGAACCCAGGAGGCAGAGGCUGCAGUGAGCCGAGAUCACGCCACUGCACUCCAGCCUGGGCGACAGAGCAAGACUCUGUCUCAAAAAAAGAGAAAAAACAAAACAAGAACCUGAGGAGGUUCUAAGUUCUACAUUCAGAUAUGGAGCCAUAGAAUCAGAGCAGAGGGGGACAGUUGACAUCCAGGUUUCAUCAGGAGAAGAGAAGCCAAGGCAAAGAUCUCCUGGGCAGUCAUGAUAAAUAUAGACCCACCAUAAAGUAAGACUUCAGCUUUCUGGGGCAUUAAUCACCCUGUUGGGAGUUAGGCAAGAUUGCAUCAGUCCUCAGAGGAUGAUCACCCCUGGGAAAGUCAUAAAACAAACUGCACUCACCUGGCUGGGGAGCAGGCAGAGAAACUCAAAGGCUUUAUUAACAGCAGUGCAGUGUCAUUCUUCAUCAACUAGAAGACUCCAGCCUUCUGCAGGUCUGUCAACCCACCCCAGACCUCCUCAGUCACAACCUUGGGAAACUGGAUUACAAGACUGACAGAUGAUUGCAAAUGUUCAAAAUUUUUAUAUUCCCCCAACACUAUGGUUCUCAUAAAACUUCUCCAUCUUACUCAAAACAAGCCACCCCCUGCAGCUUUCCAGCUGGUAUUAAAUUGGCUGAAUAAUCCCCCUACUGUCAAAAAUUUUGUCCUACACAAAAGGAGGGUGAUCAGACAAGAAAAAUGGACAAUCGGCCCCCAGAAGUCACCUGGGCAUCCAAGAGCCUGCUCUCUUGUUUUGCAGCUGCACAGGGACAUGAGGCCGGGCACAGUGGCUCAUGCCUGCAAUCCUGGCACUUUGGGAGGCGAAGGUGGGUGGAUCACUUGAGGUCAGGAGUUCAACACCAGCCUGGCCAACAUGGCGAAACCCCAUCUCUACUAAAAACACAAAAAUGAGCCAGGCAUAGUAGUCCCAGCUACUGGGGAGGCUGAGGCAUGAGAAUCGCUUGAACCCGGGAGGCAGAGGUUGCAGUGAGCCGAGAUCGCAGCACUGCACUUCAGCCUGGGAGACAGAGCGAGAGUCCAUCAGAAAGAAAGGAAAGAAAGAAAGAAAGAAA
Molecule: long non-coding RNA, 1415 nt
Filed under: Homo sapiens (human)
Lineage: Eukaryota; Metazoa; Chordata; Mammalia; Primates; Hominidae
Description: HSALNT0101833
Source: RNAcentral